UGAACUGCGGAAAGGAUCAUUG
This 22-nucleotide ribosomal RNA is filed under the name Maxillaria egertoniana. Its description in RNAcentral is "partial 18S ribosomal RNA". Lineage: Eukaryota; Viridiplantae; Streptophyta; Magnoliopsida; Asparagales; Orchidaceae. The record is from RNAcentral.